UAUAAAGUUCUGGGUCAUCAAU
RNAcentral lists this non-coding RNA (22 nucleotides) under Arabidopsis thaliana (thale cress). The record is from RNAcentral. Lineage: Eukaryota; Viridiplantae; Streptophyta; Magnoliopsida; Brassicales; Brassicaceae.